This 263-nucleotide long non-coding RNA is filed under the name Salvia miltiorrhiza (redroot sage). RNAcentral describes it as "long non-coding RNA (SMIL_LNC001807)". Lineage: Eukaryota; Viridiplantae; Streptophyta; Magnoliopsida; Lamiales; Lamiaceae. The record is from RNAcentral.
GGGGAUGGCUGCAACUAACUGCUGCUGUUCGCUGGUCUGUUUCGAGGGACGUCAGGCGGCGGCGGUAGGCCUUGUCGGCUGCUGCGGCCGUCGAUUUUGAGAGGGAGGCGGCGGGAGUGACAGGAGUCGAGGGAGAAGUGUUCCGGGCGGCGCUCGUCGCCGGGCACGAUGGAGCAGUCGAGGGAGAGAGGAGCAGUUGAGGGAGAGGAGAGUUAAGGGGCGACGGCGUGUCCGGCGGUGGCUGCCGUCGUCCGCCGGAAGAG